GGGGGGGGGCGAUUUCAAAUGACUACCGCAUUAAUUGCAUCAUAAUUUUUGAAAAUAUUAAAGGUAAAUAACUGUUGUUACUGUUCAUGUAAGCUGGCAGCAAAAAAAUUUCAUAUUUUAGUCAAAAUGUUAGAUGACAUUGUAAAUUAUACUGUAUGUAUGAAUUCAGGGUUUGAUUCUAAUAGAAUUAAAAUAGGGUUAAAUAAAUACCUUCAUAAAUUUCAUGGCAACAAGUUUGAAACCUUUCUGUUCAAAUCGUUUUAUUAUGUCAGCAAUUAAUCCACGAUUAACACCGUCUGGUUUGACCAUGAUGAAAGAUCUUUCAGAACUCAUGAUUUUAGUGUAAGUUCAGGAUCUGAAAUUUACAAAUACAGUUCAAAUAUUUAGACCACGUUGUCUUCGGCGAAGGAAAAAAGCUUGAAAGGAAAAUCAGGAAGCU
Non-coding RNA from Paramuricea clavata, 439 nucleotides. NCBI's taxonomy places the organism in Eukaryota, Metazoa, Cnidaria, Anthozoa, Malacalcyonacea, Plexauridae. The record is from the annotation of a GenBank genome assembly.